This 317-nucleotide small nuclear RNA is filed under the name Erinaceus europaeus (western European hedgehog). RNAcentral describes it as "7SK RNA". It matches the Rfam family "7SK RNA". Rfam says of the family: 7SK was discovered as an abundant small nuclear RNA in the mid-70s but a possible function has only recently been suggested. Two independent studies have found that 7SK RNA binds the CDK9/cyclin T complex (known as elongation factor P-TEFb). P-TEFb activates transcription by phosphorylating the C-terminal domain of RNA polymerase II. The record is from Rfam by way of RNAcentral. Lineage: Eukaryota; Metazoa; Chordata; Mammalia; Eulipotyphla; Erinaceidae.
GGAUGUGAGGGCGAUCUGGCUGUGACAUCUGCCACCGCACUGAUCUGGCUGGCUGGGUGGUUUCACCUUCCUCCCUCACCGCUCCAUGUGCGUCCCUCCCGAAGCUUCGUCCUCAUUUUACUUUAGAAAAAAGAAAAAAAAAAUUAAAUGUUAAGAAAAUCUGGACGGGGGAGUCGUGCAGUAGCACAGCGGGUUAAGCGCAGGUGGCGCGAAGAACAAGGACCGGCAUAAGGAUCGUGGUCGAGCCCCGGCUCCCCACCUGCAGGGGAGUCGCUUCACAGGCGGUGAAGCAGGUCUGCAGGUGUCUGUCUUUGUCU